Chelonia mydas (Green sea turtle) is the source of this 302-nucleotide long non-coding RNA. RefSeq lists it as uncharacterized. Lineage: Eukaryota; Metazoa; Chordata; Testudines; Cheloniidae. The transcript has 3 exons. The record is from RefSeq and is a predicted model, not a curated record.
UGAAAUUCCCAGAUGAUGCCAUUUUGGGAGGAGUUGCAAACACCAGUGAGGACAGAAAAAUAAGACACAGGAGCUGGGAGAGAUUAGAAACACGGUGAAGGAAGCUGGAAAGGUUCCAGCCACAAAACCUGAAGUAUCCAGUCAGAGCCAUCCCAAGACAGCGAGCCAAAUGAACAGGAGGGCAACUGAGAGACGGCAGUGCAGACCAUGGCCAUCAUCCAUGCUACCCCACUGAUGGACACCAAGUGCCUGCCAUCCCCCUCCCCCCUUAAAACAAGGCUACCCCCUCCACGCAGCCUGCC